GUUCCUCCUCUCCUUUUUUCCCUCCUCUUUCCCUCUCUUGUAUUCCGGAGAGUAUGCCUAUUUGAGGGUCAUUUGAAAUAAUAUAAAUUCCAAGAUUUCUCGGAAUUUAAAAUGGGUUGUCCAUUUUUUUUGGUAGCCUAAAAUCCAAGACAAGCUCAUUUUCUUGGGUUGCGUGAUACUUUCAGUUACCUCGUGACUUAACCAGGAAUCAUCGGGCGUGUUAUGAAUUUUGCAAGAGAUAAAAAAUACCAUAGAUUUAUCUCAUGCUAAAUAGAAAUAGAAUCAUGACCUCAAAUUAGGU
RNAcentral lists this unclassified non-coding RNA (301 nucleotides) under Ambispora leptoticha. RNAcentral's name for it is "partial contains 5.8S ribosomal RNA and internal transcribed spacer 2". Lineage: Eukaryota; Fungi; Glomeromycota; Glomeromycetes; Archaeosporales; Ambisporaceae. The record is from RNAcentral.